Molecule: unclassified non-coding RNA, 223 nt
Filed under: plant metagenome
Description: partial contains small subunit ribosomal RNA, internal transcribed spacer 1, and 5.8S ribosomal RNA
Source: RNAcentral
UUUCCGUUGGUGAACCUGCGGAAGGAUCAUUAAAGAGAAUAUGCCCUUAGGGGUGGGUCUCCCACCCUUUGUCUAUUUUUCCUUUGUUGCUUUGGCAGGCCCGUCUUCGGACCACCGGCUUUGGCUGGUCAGUGCUUGCCAGAGUACCCAAAACUCUUCUUAUUAAUUUCGUAUGAGUACGAUAUAAUAGUUAAAACUUUCAACAACGGAUCUCUUGGUUCUG